UACGAAGUGGGCUAGCGUUGCUCGAAAUCACUGGGCGUAAAGGGUGCGUAGGCGGGUUUUUAAGUCAGGGGUGAAAUCCUGGAGCUCAACUCCAGAACUGCCUUUGAUACUGAAGAUCUUGAGUCCGGGAGAGGUGAGUGGAACUGCGAGUGUAGAGGUGAAAUUCGUAGAUAUUCGCAAGAACACCAGUGGCGAAGGCGGCUCACUGGCCCGGUACUGACGCUGAGGCACGAAAGCGUGGGGAGCAAACAGG
Molecule: ribosomal RNA, 253 nt
Filed under: uncultured bacterium
Lineage: Bacteria
Description: partial 16S ribosomal RNA
Rfam family: Bacterial small subunit ribosomal RNA
Source: RNAcentral